RNAcentral lists this long non-coding RNA (820 nucleotides) under Mytilus galloprovincialis (Mediterranean mussel). Lineage: Eukaryota; Metazoa; Mollusca; Bivalvia; Mytilida; Mytilidae. The record is from RNAcentral.
AUUCAUAACAGUGUGGUCAACGGUAAAACGUUUGUAAGUAAUUAUACUGAAAAACUAACCUAUAACUUGCUUGUUGUUAGCGAUGAUUUUAUGCUCACUCAGUCUAUCAGAGGCCUUCCAGUGGGGAUUUAAAUAAUCACUUGUUACACAUUUCGAUACAUAAAAGGAAACUUCUUUUCACAAAGCUUUAAAGGAAAUUUCCGACAAGAUAAAAAUUAAAAGAUGACAUAAAUCAACAAAUCACAAUUGUAAGCUGUCGAAAAAAGAUAAUCAAUCAACACAUGCAUUGCAACUUUUAAGGCCAGAUACCGGGGUAAGUCAUUUUUUCUGAAAUAACAUUUCGAUAUCAUAUUAUGAAAAUUUAUAGUCAAAACAUAACAAAAACACAAGUAAAGGACGUUUAAGUAUUUAAUGUUAAUCAAAACACAAAGGUAAUUCCUGGUUAGUAUUUCGAAUUAUUUUAUUUAGGCGUUGAGAACCUUUGGUGACCCCACAGUUUAAAUGUUGAUACUAAGGACGACGUGAGCAAUGGGCGUUAUAGGAGAACAUUCACCUAAUCUGUCCCAGUUGAUGGGACUAUUGAAGACGGCAAAUCAAUGGUCAUAGCUACACUGUUAUGAAUUUGAUUCUAAAUACAAGUCUAAGAUAGUGCAUAUUUCAUCUGCUUUGAAGAAUCAUUCAUUAAUUGUUGUAAAAUUCUAAGUAGGAUUUAGCCAUAUUAACUGGAUAAUUCUAGCAAUUCAUUGUGAACUAUAAUAUUCACAUUUUUCAGCGAGUAUGAGCAGUAAGAUUAUAUCCUAAAACAGCCAAAAAACACCAA